This 253-nucleotide ribosomal RNA is filed under the name uncultured bacterium. Its description in RNAcentral is "partial 16S ribosomal RNA". It matches the Rfam family "Bacterial small subunit ribosomal RNA", at positions 524 to 776 of the family's 1533-position model. The record is from RNAcentral.
UACAGAGGGGGCAAGCGUUGUUCGGAAUUACUGGGCGUAAAGGGCGCGUAGGCGGCCUUCUAAGUCGAACGUGAAAUCCCUGGGCUCAACCCAGGAACUGCGUCCGAUACUGGAAGGCUUGAAUCCGGGAGAGGGAUGCGGAAUUCCGGGUGUAGUGGUGAAAUGCGUAGAUAUCCGGAGGAACACCAGUGGCGAAAGCGGCCACCUGGACUGCACCUGACGCUGACACGCGAAAGCUAGGGGAGCGAACGGG